Molecule: long non-coding RNA, 990 nt
Organism: Piliocolobus tephrosceles (Ugandan red Colobus)
Lineage: Eukaryota; Metazoa; Chordata; Mammalia; Primates; Cercopithecidae
Exons: 4
Source: RefSeq, a predicted model, not a curated record
UAGUGGUCCUGGAAAUGUCUUCUACCAACCACCCCCCAGCUGCCUAGGACCUCCAGGUGUGGAUGCAGCUUGGAAUCAAGGGAGCACUUCUAGCCCCUCUUCUUCUCAGUCCUGGCAGGGUGGUUUCCCAACACCCUCAACACAUUCAUGAUGAAUGAGAGGACCUGCACUGUCUGUGACCACUUUCUCUUCAGCCAAGGAGGAAGCCUUGCUGUCUCUGGCUGUGACAUCUUCUUGCAGAUCCCUUAAUCAACAACUCCCAGAGCCUCCAGACCCAAGAUGCACUUUGGAACCCCAGGACAAUCCUGAACUGGCACCCGCCCUGGUGUGUGCCCUUUGCUGCUGCUACUUUGGAAUCAUCUCCUAAGCUAUGGCCACCACUUCUUCAAGGCAGUGAUAUUUCUCUCAGGCCUGCUGUCUGGAGCGCUGGUGAUCUUCCUGCUCUUUCAUAAGUGCUGCAGAUACAGCUGAGACUGGAGACACAGGUGAACUUCUUGACUUUGAACAUAGACUGCUCAGAAGGCUGAGGGUGAACCAUUACAAAUGAACUGAUCCUGGUUGUUCUGCAGGCAAGUCUUUCUAAUUUUUCCAUAGCAAUACCCCAUAUGAAACCACUCAACUUACUCAACUAACCAAGGAAUAUACAUGAUUCACUCAAUGUAGACAGAUGUAAAGGCUUUUUACAUUUUUGCUACAUCCACACAUUUGACGUCCAGUCAGGAAAGCCCAGCUGAAGUUAAUAUAAAACCUGUUGUAGAGAAUGCAAGAAGCUCCCAUGAUGCUACCAGGAUAAAUGAAGACAGCAGCAGAAGAGAGGAAUGUGUUGCACGCACAGAAGUGAUCAUUCAAAAAGCAUCACUCCCACACUAGCUGUUUGUUGAAUUCUUGAAAGAAUAUAGUUGCCCUAUGCUGAUACCCACAAGCAAAGCGUGAGAGAGUUCUUAUAGAAUUUGACAGCUUUUUCCAUGAGCCUGAGGAAUGUUCAUAAGG